ACCUGAUGAGUACAUUAGAUGACGAGUCUGAUUUGGAUCUUCCAAUGCGGAUAACCCUUUAUAUACCAUUCAUGCAACGACUGAAC
Non-coding RNA from Colletotrichum higginsianum, 86 nucleotides. NCBI's taxonomy places the organism in Eukaryota, Fungi, Ascomycota, Sordariomycetes, Glomerellales, Glomerellaceae. The record is from Rfam.